RNAcentral lists this ribosomal RNA (496 nucleotides) under uncultured bacterium. RNAcentral's name for it is "partial 16S ribosomal RNA". It matches the Rfam family "Bacterial small subunit ribosomal RNA", at positions 28 to 506 of the family's 1533-position model. The record is from RNAcentral.
GAUGAACGCUGGCGGCGUGCCUAAUACAUGCAAGUCGAGCGAACGGACGAGAAGCUUGCUUUUCUGAUGUUAGCGGCGGACGGGUGAGUAACACGUGGAUAACCUACCUAUAAGACUGGGAUAACUUCGGGAAACCGGAGCUAAUACCGGAUAAUAUUUUGAACCGCAUGGUUCAAAAGUGAAAGACGGUCUUGCUGUCACUUAUAGAUGGAUCCGCGCUGCAUUAGCUAGUUGGUAAGGUAACGGCUUACCAAGGCAACGAUGCAUAGCCGACCUGAGAGGGGGAUCGGCCAAACUGGAACGGAGACCCGGCCCAAACCCCUACGGGAGGCAGCAGUGGGGAAUCUUCCGCAAGGGGCGAAAGCCUGACGGAGCAACGCCGGGGGGGGGAUGAAGGUUUUCGGAUCGUAAACCCCUGUUAUUAGGGAAGAAAAUAUGUGUAAGUAACUGUGCACAUCUUGGCGGUACCAAAUCAAAAAGCCACGGCUAACUACGU